CACGUAGGCGGACCGACAAGUCGGGGGUGAAAUCCCGGGGCUCAACCCCGGAACUGCCUCCGAAACUGUCGGUCUGGAGGUCGAGAGAGGCGAGUGGAAUUCCGAGUGUAGAGGUGAAAUUCGUAGAUAUUCGGAGGAACACCAGUGGCGAAGGCGGCUCGCUGGCUCGAUACUGACGCUGAGGUGCGAAAGCGUGGGGAAGCAAACA
This 208-nucleotide ribosomal RNA is filed under the name uncultured bacterium. RNAcentral's name for it is "partial 16S ribosomal RNA". It matches the Rfam family "Bacterial small subunit ribosomal RNA", at positions 568 to 774 of the family's 1533-position model. The record is from RNAcentral.